RNAcentral lists this ribosomal RNA (405 nucleotides) under uncultured bacterium. Its description in RNAcentral is "partial 16S ribosomal RNA". It matches the Rfam family "Bacterial small subunit ribosomal RNA", at positions 30 to 526 of the family's 1533-position model. The record is from RNAcentral.
AUUGAACGCUGGCGGCAGGCCUAACACAUGCAAGUAGAACGAGUGGCGGACGGGUGAGUAAUGUCUGGGCAACUGCCCGAUGGAGGGGGAUAACUACUGGAAACAGUAGCUAAUACCGCAUACCAUCGGAUGUGCCAAGAUGGGAUUAGCUAGUAGGUGGGGUAAAGGCUAACCUGGGAGACAAUCCCUAGCUGGUCUGAGAGGAUGACCAGCCACACUGGAACUGAGACACGGUCCAGACUCCUCCGGGAGGAAGCUGUGGGGAAUAUUGCACAAUGGGCGCAAGCCUGAUGCAGCCAUGCCGCGUGUAUGAAGAAGGCCUUCGGUUUGUAAAGUACUUUCAGCGAGGAGGCGUUACUCGCAGAAGAAGCACCGGCUAACUCCGUGCCAGCAGCCGCGUAAUAC